AAGAUACUACCUCUGUCCCAAAAUUCUUGUCUUAGAUUUGUCUACAUAUGGAAGUAUCUAACACUAAAACAUGACUAGAUACUUCCAUAUUUAAACAAAUCUAAGACAAGAAUUUUGGGUCGGAGGGAGUAUAAG
Triticum aestivum (bread wheat) is the source of this 135-nucleotide non-coding RNA. The record is from Rfam. NCBI's taxonomy places the organism in Eukaryota, Viridiplantae, Streptophyta, Magnoliopsida, Poales, Poaceae.